RNAcentral lists this ribosomal RNA (709 nucleotides) under uncultured bacterium. RNAcentral's name for it is "bacterial SSU rRNA". It matches the Rfam family "Bacterial small subunit ribosomal RNA", at positions 60 to 737 of the family's 1533-position model. The record is from RNAcentral.
AGUCGACGAAACUUCUUUAUCACCGAGUGCUUGCACUCACCGAUAAAGAGUUGAGUGGCGAACGGGUGAGUAACACGUGGGCAACCUGCCCAAAAGAGGGGGAUAACACUUGGAAACAGGUGCUAAUACCGCAUAACCAUAGUUACCGCAUGGUAACUAUGUAAAAGGUGGCUAUGCUACCGCUUUUGGAUGGGCCCGCGACGCAUUAGCUAGUUGGUGGGGUAAAGGCUUACCAAGGCAAUGAUGCGUAGCCGAACUGAGAGGUUGAUCGGCCACAUUGGGACUGAGACACGGCCCAAACUCCUACGGGAGGCAGCAGUAGGGAAUCUUCCACAAUGGGCGAAAGCCUGAUGGAGCAACGCCGCGUGGGUGAAGAAGGUCUUCGGAUCGUAAAACCCUGUUGUUAGAGAAGAAAGUGCGUGAGAGUAACUGUUCACGUUUCGACGGUAUCUAACCAGAAAGCCACGGCUAACUACGUGCCAGCAGCCGCGGUAAUACGUAGGUGGCAAGCGUUAUCCGGAUUUAUUGGGCGUAAAGAGAACGCAGGCGGUCUUUUAAGUCUGAUGUGAAACCCUUCGGCUUAACCGGAGUAGUGCAUUGGAAACUGGGAGACUUGAGUGCAGAAGAGGAGAGUGGAACUCCAUGUGUAGCGGUGAAAUGCGUAGAUAUAUGGAAGAACACCAGUGGCGAAAGCGGCUCUCUGGUCUGU